AUUGAACGCUGGCGGAAUGCUUUACACAUGCAAGUCGAACGGCAGCACGGGGGCAACCCUGGUGGCGAGUGGCGAACGGGUGAGUAAUACAUCGGAACGUGCCCAGUCGUGGGGGAUAACGUAGCGAAAGUUACGCUAAUACCGCAUACGAUCUACGGAUGAAAGCGGGGGACCGUAAGGCCUCGCGCGAUUGGAGCGGCCGAUGUCAGAUUAGGUAGUUGGUGAGGUAAAGGCUCACCAAGCCGACGAUCUGUAGCUGGUCUGAGAGGACGAACAGCCACACUGGGACUGAGACACGGACCAGACUCCUACGGGAGGCAGCAGUGGGGAAUUUUGGCCAAUGGGCGCAAGCCUGAUCCAGCCAUUCCGCGUGCAGGACGAAGGCCUUCGGGUUGUAAACUGCUUUUGUACGGAACGAAAAGGCUCUGGUUAAUACCUGGGGCUCAUGACGGUACCGUAAGAAUAAGCACCGGCUAACUACGUGCCAGCCGCCGCCGUAA
This 500-nucleotide ribosomal RNA is filed under the name uncultured bacterium. RNAcentral's name for it is "partial 16S ribosomal RNA". It matches the Rfam family "Bacterial small subunit ribosomal RNA", at positions 30 to 523 of the family's 1533-position model. The record is from RNAcentral.